UACAGAGGGUGCGAGCGUUAAUCGGAAUUACUGGGCGUAAAGCGCGCGUAGGCGGCUUUGCAAGUCGGGUGUGAAAUCCCCAGGCUUAACCUGGGAACUGCAUUCGAGACUGCAUUGCUAGAGUAUGGGAGAGGGAAGUGGAAUUUCCGGUGUAGCGGUGAAAUGCGUAGAUAUCGGAAGGAACAUCAGUGGCGAAAGCGACUUCCUGGACCAACACUGACGCUGAGGAGCGAAAGCAAGGGGAGCAAACGGG
Molecule: ribosomal RNA, 253 nt
Filed under: uncultured bacterium
Lineage: Bacteria
Description: partial 16S ribosomal RNA
Rfam family: Bacterial small subunit ribosomal RNA
Source: RNAcentral